UACGAAGGGGGCUAGCGUUGCUCGGAAUCACUGGGCGUAAAGCGCUCGUAGGUGGCUCGCUAAGUCAGGUGUGAAAUCCUGGAGCUCAACUCCAGAACUGCCUUUGAUACUGGCAAUCUCGAGUCCGGGAGAGGUGAGUGGAACUGCGAGUGUAGAGGUGAAAUUCGUAGAUAUUCGCAAGAACACCAGUGGCGAAGGCGGCUCACUGGCCCGGUACUGACGCUGAGGUGCGAAAGCGUGGGGAGCAAACAGG
RNAcentral lists this ribosomal RNA (253 nucleotides) under uncultured bacterium. Its description in RNAcentral is "partial 16S ribosomal RNA". It matches the Rfam family "Bacterial small subunit ribosomal RNA", at positions 524 to 776 of the family's 1533-position model. The record is from RNAcentral.